Molecule: ribosomal RNA, 735 nt
Filed under: uncultured Verrucomicrobiota bacterium
Lineage: Bacteria; Pseudomonadati; Verrucomicrobiota
Description: bacterial SSU rRNA
Rfam family: Bacterial small subunit ribosomal RNA
Source: RNAcentral
GUCGAGCGCUGAUUACGGGGUAGCAAUAUCUCGUAGUUGGAGCGGCGCAAGGGUGCGUAACACGUGGGUAAUCUGCCAUGAAGUUUGGGAUAACUUGCUGAAAGGCGAGCUAAUACCGGAUGUGAAGAUUGGAGGGCAUCUUCUGAUUUUCAAAGCUGGGGACCGUAAGGCCUGGCGCUUCAUGAUGAGCCCGCGGCCUAUCAGCUAGUUGGUAAGGUAACGGCUUACCAAGGCUAAGACGGGUAGCUGGUCUGAGAGGACGACCAGCCACACUGGAACUGAGACACGGUCCAGACACCUACGGGUGGCAGCAGUCGAGAAUUUUUCACAAUGGGCGCAAGCCUGAUGGAGCGACGCCGCGUGGGGGAUGAAUGGCUUCGGCCCGUAAACCCCUGUCAUUUGCGAACAAUUCGUUCCACCUAAAACGUGGAGCGUUGAUAGUAGCGAAAGAGGAAGGGACGGCUAACUCUGUGCCAGCAGCCGCGGUAAUACAGAGGUCCCAAGCGUUGUUCGGAUUCACUGGGCGUAAAGGGUGCGUAGGUGGCGGGGUAAGUCGGAUGUGAAAGCUCGGAGCUCAACUCCGAAAUGGCAUUGGAAACUACUCUGCUCGAGGAUUGGAGGGGGGACUGGAAUACUUGGUGUAGCAGUGAAAUGCGUAGAUAUCAAGUGGAACACCAGUGGCGAAGGCGAGUCCCUGGACAAUUCCUGACACUGAGGCACGAAAGCUAGGGGAGC